This 1481-nucleotide ribosomal RNA is filed under the name uncultured spirochete. RNAcentral's name for it is "bacterial SSU rRNA". It matches the Rfam family "Bacterial small subunit ribosomal RNA". The record is from RNAcentral. Lineage: Bacteria; Pseudomonadati; Spirochaetota; Spirochaetia; Spirochaetales.
GAGUUUGAUUCUGGCUCAGAACGAACGCUAGCGGCGCGUUUCAGGCAUGCAAGUCGAACGGUACCAGUCCCCUUCGGGGGAGCUGACGAGUGGCGCACGGGUGAGUAACGCGUAGGUAAUCUACCAUAAGGAUUGGGAUAGCUCUACGAAAGUAGGAUUAAUACCAUAUAUGCUCUAUUGAGUAAAGAUUUAUCGCCUUAUGAUGAGCCUGCGGCUGAUUAGCUAGUUGGUAAGGUAACGGCCUACCAAGGCGACGAUCAGUAGCCGGCCUGAGAGGGUGGGCGGCCACACUGGGACUGAGACACGGCCCAGACUCCUACGGGAGGCAGCAGCUAAGAAUCUUCCGCAAUGGACGAAAGUCUGACGGAGCGACGCCGCGUGGGUGAAGAAGGCCGUGAGGUUGUAAAGCCCUUUUCUUGUUGAAGAAUAAAACGGGGAGGGAAUGCCCCGGAGAUGACGUUAGGCAAGGAAUAAGCCCCGGCCAAUUACCUGCCAGCAGCCGCGGUAACACGUAUGGGGCGAGCGUUGUUCGGAAUUAUUGCGGCGUAAAGGGUACGUAGGCGGUCUAAUAAGUCAGAUGUGAAACCCUCGGGCUCAUCCAGAGGCCUGCGUCUGAUACUGUUAGGCUAGAGUUACGGAGAGGAAGUCGGAACUCCUGGUGUAGGGGUGAAAUCUAUAGAUAUCAGGAAGAACAUCAGUUGCGAAGGCGGACUUCUGGACGUUAACUGACGCUUAGGUACGAAAGUUAGGGUAGCACACAGGAUUAGAGACCCUGGUAGUCCUAACUGUAAACGUUGUAUACUAGGUGGUGGCGUUUUGAUCGCGUCACUGCCGGAGCUAACGCAUUAAGUAUACCGCCUGGGGAGUAUGCCGGCAACGGUGAAACUCAGAGGAAUUGACGGGGGCCCGCACAAGCAGUGGCAGCAUGUUGUUUAAUUCGAUGAUACGCGAGGAACCUUACCAGGUCUUGACAUAUACCUGAGGGUUGUAGAGAUACAUCCGCCCUUCGGGACGGGUAUACAGGUGCUGCAUGGUUGUCGUCAGCUCGUGCCGUGAGGUGUUGGGUUAAGUCCCGCAACGAGCGCAACCCUUAUUCUUUGUUGCUAACGCGUUAUGGCGAGCACUCUAAGGAGACUGCCGGUGACAAACCGGAGGAAGGUGGGGAUGACGUCAAAUCAUCACGGCCCUUAUGACCUGGGCUACAAACGUGCUACAAUGGACGGUACAAAGAGUUGCGAGUCUGUGAAGAGGAGCUAAUCUCAGAAAACCGUCCUCAGUUCGGAUUGGAGUCUGAAACCCGACUCCGUGAAGUUGGAAUUGCUAGUAAUCGCAUAUCACCCAUGAUGCGGUGAAUAUGUUCCCGGGCCUUGUACACACCGCCCGUCACAUCACCCGAAUUGACUAUACCCGAUGUGGCUGAGCCAACCCUUCGGGGAGGCAGGUCCCUAAGGUAUGGUUGGUGAGGGGGGUGAAGUCGUAAC